AAGUCGUAACAAGGUUUCCGUAGGUGAACCUGCGGAAGGAUCACUAAAGUAAACGCCCUCCGGGGCUCUCUUUAUUCACACACCCCUGUGCACUUUGGCCACCUGCCGCGCUUCACUGCGUUAGUAGGUGUGUCUUUAUAAUUAUACCCAUAUACACAAGUCAUUGAAUGUAAAAUCGUUAUAAACUAAUAUAACUUUCAACAACGGAUCUCUUGGUUCUC
Molecule: unclassified non-coding RNA, 221 nt
Filed under: Cystofilobasidium macerans
Lineage: Eukaryota; Fungi; Basidiomycota; Tremellomycetes; Cystofilobasidiales; Cystofilobasidiaceae
Also listed under: 3 other names
Description: partial contains small subunit ribosomal RNA, internal transcribed spacer 1, and 5.8S ribosomal RNA
Rfam family: Eukaryotic small subunit ribosomal RNA (bases 1-46)
Source: RNAcentral